This 1440-nucleotide ribosomal RNA is filed under the name Triticum aestivum (bread wheat). RNAcentral's name for it is "partial small subunit ribosomal RNA". The record is from RNAcentral. Lineage: Eukaryota; Viridiplantae; Streptophyta; Magnoliopsida; Poales; Poaceae.
AUGUAUUCCCUGUCCCAUAAUUUAAGAACACAGGAUAAUGAUCCAUGGAAGGAUUGUAGCAAUGGAGUUACACGGCAAGAGGAGGAAAAUGAUAGCCAGAUACACACGCACACAGCCGCCACCCGGUUCGCUUCUGAUCCUCUGGAGACCCCUCACCUACUGCCACUGCUGCUAAGUACCUCUCCCCGAACACACCAUAUUCUUGGGCUCGAACAUGGACGAGACCCACUGCUCCCUAGAGAACUUAUGGUUGAGUCUCUUCUCCGUUCUGGGCCAGCUGGUCCCUCCUUCCCCUGCCAUGGUUUUGUUGCUUGCCCCUUUGUCAGGUCGCUUACACUGGCCCAAGAGAUGAUGAUGCUUCUCUAUGCUGUUGGCCUUGUGAACCGAACUAGCACUACAUGGCAGGGCUCGUCGACUGGGUUCGUGACCAAUGACGCUCCCGGUGAAAAAGCCCUAGAUCGAGCGGUCAAAACAGAUCACGCCCUCAUCGAUUCCUUCCACUCCCUCGACACCACCUCUCCUCCACCCGGAGGGCGCCUCCUCCUUUCUCCCCACCUGCCUUCCUCCCCAUCUGGCAGCGCCUCCUCCCUCCUUCCCACGGCCUCCCGCACCGCGCGCCACCGGCUAGCUGCACCACCACCGCAUCCUCAUAUACUCCAGCCCACUAUGCCAGCGAGAGAGGAAGCUGCGGGAGGAGAAGAGCCCAUCCCAAGAGGAGACCCAUUGCUAGCAUCGGCUCCAGCGAUGCGGGUUGACGGCCAGUGCAGGCGAGCGCGGCGUGCAGUGCGGUGCCCUAGACAGGUGGCAGCGGCCGUCAAGACAGGAGCGGUGCCGCGAGCGACGACCCUUGGUCAUCUUCAGGUGCGCGUCGUCCGUGGUGGACGAUCAUGGGUGUUGGCCUGCAGUAGGCCGGUGCCCCUUAGCAAGAUUGGCACGAACUGGGAAGGGGCUGCCCAGUUUUGGAACAACAAACCAUGGAGGAUAUGGGUCUGCACGGGCUUGGAGCAGGAAGCCAUGGCGGCCAAGGCUAAGUGCUCAUGCUAUGGAAGUGACGAGGGCUGCCACAGUGUAGAAAAGGUUUUGGUGUUCUCCAUGCCAUUUUUUCUCAUAAUCCCCGAGGGCUACCGAUUUGAUCUUUUGUUGUUCCUGGUGUACCGAUUUGUGAAACUCACCUCUUAUGUCAAGGUGGGAAGCUUGGCUGAUUCCACCUCCACAUUUAAAGAAGUGGCAAUAAUUAGCCAUCCUCAUGCUGGUGAAUACGCAUUUGGGCUUAUAACAUCGAGCAUGAUUCUUCAGGUACAGUCGAAAACUUUCCCCGUCCCCCAGGCCCUGUGGGCUGCGACUGAACUUAGAUUUCUAAUCCCUAGCUUAACUUCCUGUAGAUUAGAAGCUGGAGCACAAGGAUUGUGUGAUGGAGUAAACAUUGGUUAUAUAUUUUAG